This 305-nucleotide ribosomal RNA is filed under the name uncultured bacterium. Its description in RNAcentral is "bacterial SSU rRNA". It matches the Rfam family "Bacterial small subunit ribosomal RNA", at positions 333 to 634 of the family's 1533-position model. The record is from RNAcentral.
UUCGUCCUACGGGGGGCAGCAGUGAGGAAUAUUGGUCAAUGGGCGGAAGCCUGAACCAGCCAAGUCGCGUGAGGGAAGAAGGCCCUGCGGGUCGCAGACCUCUUUGGAUGGGGAGCAAGGCCGCCGACGUGUCGGCGGAAGGAGAGUACCCGUAGAACAAGCAUCGGCUAACUCCGUGCCAGCAGCCGCGGUAAUACGGAGGAUGCGAGCGUUAUCCGGAUUUAUUGGGUGUAAAGGGAGCGCAGGCGGCACGGCAAGCCUGAUGUGAAAGCCCGCGGCCCAACCGCGGGACUGCAUUGGGAACU